UACGGGGGGAGCAAGCGUUGUUCGGAUUUACUGGGCGUAAAGGGCGCGUAGGCGGCCAGCGCAAGUCAGUUGUGAAAUCUCCGGGCUUAACUCGGAACGGUCAAGUGAUACUGUCGUGCUAGAGUACAGAAGGGGGCAACUGGAAUUCUCGGUGUAGCGGUGAAAUGCGUAGAUAUCGAGAGGAACACCUGCGGCGAAGGCGGGUUUGCUGGGCUGAUACUGACGCUGAGGCGCGAAAGCUAGGGGAGCGAACGGGG
RNAcentral lists this ribosomal RNA (257 nucleotides) under uncultured bacterium. RNAcentral's name for it is "partial 16S ribosomal RNA". It matches the Rfam family "Bacterial small subunit ribosomal RNA", at positions 524 to 777 of the family's 1533-position model. The record is from RNAcentral.